Molecule: ribosomal RNA, 527 nt
Filed under: uncultured Entrophosporaceae
Lineage: Eukaryota; Fungi; Glomeromycota; Glomeromycetes; Entrophosporales; Entrophosporaceae
Description: SSU rRNA
Rfam family: Eukaryotic small subunit ribosomal RNA
Source: RNAcentral
AGCAGCCGCGGUAAUUCCAGCUCCAAUAGCGUAUAUUAAAGUUGUUGCAGUUAAAAAGCUCGUAGUUGAAUUUCGGGAUUGACACAUCGGUCGUGCCUUAAGGGGUAUGAACUGGUGUAGUCAAUUUCUCACCUUCUGGAGAACCGCGAUGUCCUUAAUUGGGUGCCGCGAGGAACCAGGACCUUUACUUUGAAAAAAUUAGAGUGUUUAAAGCAGGCAUUUUGCUUGAAUACAUUAGCAUGGAAUAAUAAAAUAGGACGGAUGAUUCUAUUUUGUUGGUUUCUAGGACCACCGUAAUGAUUAAUAGGGAUAGUUGGGGGCAUUAGUAUUCAAUUGUCAGAGGUGAAAUUCUUGGAUUUAUUGAAGACUAACUACUGCGAAAGCAUUUGCCAAGGAUGUUUUCAUUAAUCAAGAACGAAAGUUAGGGGAUCGAAGACGAUCAGAUACCGUCGUAGUCUUAACCAUAAACUAUGCCGACUAGGAAUCAGACGAUGUUAAUUUUUUAAUGACUCGUUUGGCACCUUACG